RNAcentral lists this ribosomal RNA (301 nucleotides) under uncultured bacterium. RNAcentral describes it as "partial 16S ribosomal RNA". It matches the Rfam family "Bacterial small subunit ribosomal RNA", at positions 509 to 807 of the family's 1533-position model. The record is from RNAcentral.
CAGCCGCCGCGGUAAUACGAAGGGUGCAAGCGUUAAUCGGAAUUACUGGGCGUAAAGCGUGCGUAGGCGGUGAGUUAAGUCUGCUGUGAAAUUCCCGGGCUCAACCUGGGAAUGGCAGUGGAUACUGGCUCGCUAGAGUGUGUCAGAGGAUGGUGGAAUUCCCGGUGUAGCGGUGAAAUGCGUAGAGAUCGGGAGGAACAUCAGUGGCGAAGGCGGCCAUCUGGGACAACACUGACGCUGAGGCACGAAAGCGUGGGGAGCAAACAGGAUUAGAUACCCCCGUAGUCCCUGUCUCUUAUAC